GAUCCUGGCUCAGGACGAACGCUGGCGGCGCGCCUAACACAUGCAAGUCGAACGGAGCUAUGUUGAAAGCUUGCUGGAUAUAUAGCUUAGUGGCGGACGGGUGAGUAACACGUGAGCAACCUGCCUUUCAGAGUGGAAUAACGUUUGGAAACGAACGCUAAUACCGCAUAACGUCAGAGGAUGGCAUCGUCUUUUGACCAAAGAUUUAUCGCUGAAAAAUGGGCUCGCGGCCGAUUAGGUAG
Molecule: ribosomal RNA, 242 nt
Filed under: uncultured bacterium
Lineage: Bacteria
Description: partial 16S ribosomal RNA
Rfam family: Bacterial small subunit ribosomal RNA
Source: RNAcentral